CCAGAGGCUGAUCCCAGAUGUUUGAUUGACACCCGGGCAGCUCGGAUCCAGAUGUUUGAUUGACACUUUUGUUUGAGAGGCACCUCUGCACGGAGCCGGGGGGCGGGGCCUGCACGGGGAGGCCGUCCUCCUAUUGGCUGAAUCCACAGGAGCCCGAACUCCAGGAACACGCAGCGAUGGAUCGGGCGUGAGAAGACGGAACUGCGCCUGGACAUGAGGACUUCCUCCGAGGAGAAGAGAAGAAGAAGAAGAAGAAGAACCUCGGAGCCACAUGUUGUCUUAUUAGAACCUUUGAGUUUAACAUGAGGACAGUUUGACUUGUUGACGCACGGAUGGACGCGCGCACGGUGCUGGCUGUUCGCUGAAGCCGCCGGUGUCCCCUCUGCUGUCGGAACUUCAAAGCGACCGGUUCGCUACAUUACUUCUCUUUGAUCUUUCCUCGGACGUCCCGCCAGCUGGAGACAUGGCCGAACAUGAGAGCCUGGAGUUCGGGAAGGCGGACUUCGUGCUGCUGGACCACGUGUCCAUGGAGGAGUUCAUGGGGAACCUCAAACUCAGGUUCGAGAAGGGGCGGAUCUACUCGUACAUCGGAGAGGUGGUGGUGUCCGUCAAUCCUUACCGGGCCAUGAACAUCUACGGCCGCGACACCGUGGAGCAGUACAAGGGCCGCGAGCUGUACGAGAGGCCGCCGCACCUCUUCGCCAUCGCCGACGCGGCGUACAAAGCCAUGAAGAGACGGAACAAGGACACGUGUAUCGUCAUCUCAGGGGAAAGUGGAGCCGGAAAGACGGAAGCCAGCAAGUACAUCAUGCAGUACAUCGCUGCCAUCACUAAUCCCAACCAGAGGGCUGAGGUCGAGAGGGUGAAAAACAUGCUGCUCAAAUCCAACUGCGUGCUGGAGGCCUUCGGAAACGCCAAGACCAGCCGCAACGACAACUCCAGCCGCUUCGGCAAGUACAUGGACAUCAACUUUGACUUUAAAGGGGAUCCCAUCGGAGGCCACAUCAACAACUACCUGCUGGAGAAGUCCAGGGUGAUUUUCCAGCAGGCAGGAGAGAGGAGCUUUCACUCCUUCUAUCAGCUGCUCAGAGGAUCUCCAGACUCGUUGCUGCGUUCUCUUCACGUCCAGAAAGACCCGACUGCCUACAACUACAUCAAAGUUGGAGGCCAGAUCAAGUCGAGCAUCAACGACGGCGCUGAUCUCAAAGCCGUGGCCGACGCCAUGAAAGUGAUCGGUUUCACAGGGGACGAGAUUCAGACUGUUUACAAGAUCCUGGCCACCAUCCUGCAUCUGGGAAAUAUGACCUUCGGGGUGGACGGAGACGUGACCUUGAUCGAGAACCCGAAGCUGGUGUCUGUGAUCAGGGAUCUGCUGUCCACCAAGGAGGAGACCGUGGAGAAGGCCCUGCUGUACCGCACCGUGGCCACCGGGCGGGACGUCAUCGAGAAGCAGCACACGGCGCAGGAGGCCGGCUACGGACGGGACGCUCUGGCCAAGGCCAUGUACGAGCGUCUGUUCUGCUGGAUCGUCGGACGCAUCAAUGACGUGAUCGAGGUGAAGAACUACGACGCCAGAGUCCACGGGAAGAACACGGUCAUCGGGGUCCUGGACAUCUACGGCUUCGAGAUUUUCCAGAACAACAGCUUUGAACAGUUCUGCAUCAACUACUGUAACGAGAAGCUGCAGCAGUUGUUCAUCCAGCUGGUGCUGAAGCAGGAACAGGAAGAGUAUCAGAGAGAAGGAAUCCCCUGGAAACAUAUUGAUUACUUCAAUAACCAGAUCAUCGUGGACUUGGUGGAGCAGCAGCACAAAGGCAUCUUCUCCGUCCUGGACGAGGCUUGUAUGAACGUGGGCAAAGUCACAGACGAGGUUUUCCUCCAAGGCCUCAACGGCAAACUCGGCAAACACGCCCACUACACCAGUCGCAAGCUCUCGCCCACCGACAAGAGUCUGGAGUUCGACCGGGACUUCCGUAUCAGACACUACGCUGGAGACGUGAUGUACUCUGUGGUGGGUUUCAUUGACAAGAACAAAGACACACUGUUCCAGGAUUUCAAGAGACUGCUCUACAACAGUUCCAACCCGGUGCUGAAGGGGAUGUGGCCUGAGGGCAAACUGAGCAUCACCGAGGUCACCAAGCGGCCGCUCACCGCCGCCACGCUCUUCAAGAACUCCAUGAUCGCACUGGUGGAGAACCUGGCGUGCAAGGAGCCUUACUACGUCCGCUGCAUCAAGCCCAACGACGUGAAGUCGCCGCUGCUGUUCGAGCAGGAGCGCUGCCGCCACCAGGUGGAGUACCUCGGGCUGCUGGAGAACGUCCGGGUGCGGCGUGCCGGCUUCGCCUACCGACAGACCUACCCUCGCUUCCUGCAGAGAUACAAGAUGAUCUCGGAGUUCACGUGGCCGAACCACGACCUGCCGUCGGACAAAGAGGCGGUGAAGCGGCUCCUUCAGGGCUGCGGGUUCGACCACGACGUCGCCUACGGAAAAACCAAAGUCUUCAUCCGCACGCCGCGCACGCUCUUCAGCCUCGAGGAGCAGAGAACCGAGAUGGUCGGAAGAAUCGUCCUCUUCCUCCAGAAGGUGUGGAGGGGCACCAUCGCCCGGAUGCGUUACCGGCGGAUGCGAGCGGCCCUCGUCAUCCUUCAGGCUUACCGCCGCUACAAAGUCAGGUCCUACAUCCGCGAGGUCAACCGCCGCUUCAAGAACGUCCGGUCCAUGAAGGACUACGGGCGCCACGUCAAGUGGCCGACGCCGCCGAAGGUCCUGCGCAAGUUCGAGGAGGCGCUGAGGAGCAUCUACAGCAGGUGGUGGGCAUGGACUCUGAUCAAAGGCCUUUCUCCAGAGGAGGCCCUGCAGGUGAGGGCAAAGGUCGCCUGUCUGGAGGCGCUGAAGGGAAACAGGAGCGACUCGGGCCUGCAGCGAGCCUGGGAAGGAAACUAUCUGAAGCGCGACAGCCCCGACAGCUCCGCCUCCUUCACGCUCGUCUCCAGCGAGCUGCAGCGGAAAGACAAAUUCAUGAGGGUGCUGUUCUCCUGCAAUGUUCGCAAGAUCAACCGUUUCCACAAGUCUGAGGACAGGACUGUGCUCAUCACUGACCGCCACCUGUACAAGAUGGAUCCGCUGAAGCAGUACAAGCCCAUGAAGAGCAUCCCACUCUACAACGUGACGGGCAUGAGCGUGUCCCCGGGGAAGGACCAGCUGGUUGUCUUCCACACUAAGGACAGCAGGGACCUGGUGGUGUGCCUGCAGGGAAUGGUCCCUGCCAGCGAGAGCCGCAUCGGGGAGCUGGUGGGCAGCCUGCUCAGCCACUUCAAGAGCGAGAAGAGGAAGCUGCAGGUGAACGUGUCCAGUCCCAUCCAGUGCAGCAUGAACGGCAGGAAGUGCACCAUCAUCGUGGAACCCAAGAUCAACCAAUCACAGCCGGACUUCACCAAGAGCCGCUCGGAUUACAUCCUGGCUGUUCCCGGCAACUGAGAUCAGACAGUGACGGCCGAUUCCAAAGCAGGCCCAGAUGAUGAUGAUGAUGAUGAUGAUGAUGAUGAUGAUUCACAUCUUAUUCGCUCCUCAUGUUUUCUGCUGACAGUGCGUGACAGAGGAGAUCGAACCUCAAACAGCAGAGUCGUGUCAAAUCGGACGUGUUUUCUAGAUUUCUAUGCAAUGCCGCGAUGAAAAGGGAGCGUUAGCAUCAUGCUACAUGCUAAAUCUUAUUAGCUAAACAGGUAUAAAACAUAAUAUGCACUGCUCUGUCUCUUUAAAAUCCAAAUUUAAAAUGAUUUGCUUUGUGCAAUAUUGAGUUUAUUGUAGGUUGAUUCUUUUCAGUUGAGGUGAGAGGAGAUUAAUCUGCAACUUGCAUCAUGGGAAUAAAAAUCCAAAAGGUUGAGCAGGAAUGAAAAAUCCCUGCGGCUCCGGAUCAGAAGUGAAACCCCAGAAAAUUAAAUCCAAAGAUAUGAAUGAUUCUUAAACACCUGCUUUAAUUGAGUUGUGGAUUUUAUUCUAAGGAAUAAUAAUGUUAAUUGACUUAACUGAAGACUUAAUGAAUGAACUUAAUGAACCUGAAACCUCCGCUCUUAGUUUGUUAAAUGUUUACAAUCACGUGUGGGGAUAACGAGUGAGAAUCCAACAGCUGGUCAGUGACAGGAUGUGUUGAGCACAUCCGCGACAUCGCAAACCUGCGACGUACAAAGUGCUAAAAUCUGUUAAUUUAAAUCCUGCUUCUUAUAAUCUUUACUGCAAUGUCUUUUUUAAUAUUCCCCACGAAAAAGUGUCUGCACAACUAAUACUGAGUUAUACUGUCCAGGGACAAUAUGAAGAUUAUAACCAAAGCAUGACUUUCUACAGGAGGCUUCAUGAUCUCUAGAGCCUUGUUCUAGACACGGGUUCAGGAUCAGUCCCGUUCGUGUCUCUUGUUGUUUUCGUGAGUGAACAUAGUUCGGGGGGGUUCUCCUGGUGCUUGAACUACAGGUCAGGAACAAGACUCCGGAUCUUCACCCAUUGUCCUGUUAGCUGUCUCCGUGUCCAGUGAAAAGCUCUCGAUGAAUCUUCCUUCAUCAGUGAGAAGUGUGAGUGUGAUCGUGGGAGUGAGCUCCUUCAGUCUGUUCUACUUUACUCUAACGACAGGAGGACUUGUUGUGUGUUUGCUGAACCAUCAGGAGACGUUGUCCUCGUGUCCUCUGGUCGCUGACGUGUCUGCGCUUAAACAAUAUGAUCUUUUUCCAAUCAUCGCAGAAAUAUAUACACUAGCAUAGAUGCUGAGGGGAUGAAGACAUCCGACUUCAAACUGUGAGAGAUUCAUUGAUUCGUCGCCUGCUCAUUCAAACUUUACUCAAAGUGGCCAAAUUCAACACUUCACUUCUUUGGGUCCUUUACAACACACAAGCCAAGUUGUGUAGCUGAUGUGUGGGUUUGAUUUCUAGACGUGUGAGACACCGACAGACAGAUUUGUGGAAUUAGUAGAAAGAUGUUCACACCUGAAAGUGUCUCAGCAACAUUCAUCCACAUGCAGCCUCCGUAGCUUCCUCCCGUCUGACCUCCACGUCGACCUCAAAGGUCAAACGGGUUUAGGGUGCUGAGGAAGGUCAUGUGACCUGAUGGAAAGCUGCAGAACAGAAGCUUCAUGGAUUUAAUGUUGAGAUUAUUUGAGACUUUAAAACCAGGACGUUUCUACCAACUACAGUUUCAAACCAACUGGGCAAACUGCUGAUGAAGCUCAUGGUCGACAGCUCCAGAACGCCACAGUAGUUAUUCCUCUUUCUAGAACUUCCUUAUUGACACUUCACUUGGCUCAGUGGCGAGAUGACCUCGUGCUGUUGGUGGGUGAAGACUCUCUAACGGGAUCAUGGCUGUUUGGGGUAAUUGGUGCGUUGGAUUAAGGGAAGUGACAUCAGGAGCGUUAAUAGAGGGUUUUCCCUGCGGCUCUGGUGCAGUGGCGCUCGGUGCGUGAGGACGCCGCCGCUCUCUGCUGAUCUCCCACAGGGCGCCACUGUUCAGCGCUCGUCAUUAGGAUGGACGCCAUGUCUCUCCUCACUCCAGCGCUUCUCUCUCUUCUCUCGCGGUCGUAAAACGAGGGGGUUGGUGAACAAAGCCUCGCUCGGCCUUCUCUCCUCCUCGACUCCCUCUGCUUUCCUUCUCCUCCCACUCCCUCCCUCCCUCCCUCCUUUUCCACUUCCCUUCCCCUCUCCGAUCCCUCGGCUCCUCGCCCGGCGCCGGCCUGCAGGGCAACGAAGGUUUUCCUGCUUUCUUUGUUUUUCUGCUGUUGUUAUUUUAUACCUCAGCCGUCCUGUGCCCAGGAGGCGUGCAAAUGGAAAAGGAGAAAGCCCGAGCAACCAGACGAGUCCAACAAGAGGAGGAUCAGGCAGAAACAAAAACCAGGGAGGAAAGAAUAAGAUGGAUGAGGCAGAAAUGUGGAUCUAAACCCUGUUGAAAUACAUUUUCUGAUUGUCAACAAAUCACAAAACGACCAAAACCUACAACAUUCUAGUUUGUUUACUCUCCUCUGAAAUGUGUAGAAUCAGGUUUAAUUUAUAUAUAAUAUUGAAUAAUUCUUAAUUCGUCCGCUAAGCCAGUGACCGGAAGUUUCCUCAAGGGAAUUUCUUCUAGUUUGCUCAGUUCAAGUCAAAGAUGAACUUAGAUUGGUGGUUGAAGGUCAAAGGGUGAAGGUCACGGUUCUUGUGAAGAUGACAUAUCAGGAACACCCAACGUGUCAAAGGUCAAGUUCACGAACGUUCACUGAAGACUCUGGAUUAACUGAUUAGUUUUGAGUUGGUCACAGAUCCACGGUGGAGGUCACGGUGGAGGUCGAGGUCACGGUGGAGGUCACGGUGGCUUCACGUGUUUCAGCUUCUGGAACGUUGACACGUCUGGUGAUGAAGUGUCUGCAGCCUGGAGCUCCACUGGCUUCUAGCUCAGUAAAUCAAAGCUGUUUACUAAAGUACCUGUAACUAUCACAGUAACUAGAACAGGAGGUAUUGUAGGAACUAUUUUCUUCAGCGUAUUGAUACAUAUUCAGUGCAAUUUGGUUUUCCUCAUUUAUUAUCAGCUUUAAGUGUGAAAAUCCCUGUGGAUCUAAUCAAAAGAACAUUCCUUCACUCUCACGUGUCCAUGUCGGCCAAAGGGUUAAAAAACUCAAAUCCCAUUUUCCUUUCUGUAAUUUAUUCUGUGGCUUUAAGCAAAAAUCUGUAUAUGUAUUUGCACCGUUCAUUCAGUAUGUGCCUAAAUUUAUGUUAAGUUUAUAUUUUGAAUAUUUGUGUAAUAUUUCACUACUACGUCCCAUAACUAUACUGUAAUAUCCAGACCAAGUCUAAAGGGAACAGUUGUAAUAUUAUUUUGUAUAAAUGCAGAUCAUGCAUUCCACGAUGAUCCGUCAAGAAAAAUAUUUCAUUAAUCAUUUUAUCAAUAAAUUGAUUUGCCUCACA
RNA transcript from Limanda limanda (common dab), 6915 nucleotides. It is a transcript of the gene named myosin 1D, with no coding region annotated. The record is from RefSeq and is a predicted model, not a curated record. Lineage: Eukaryota; Metazoa; Chordata; Actinopteri; Pleuronectiformes; Pleuronectidae. The transcript has 23 exons.